RNAcentral lists this long non-coding RNA (662 nucleotides) under Homo sapiens (human). RNAcentral's name for it is "HRG and FETUB antisense RNA 1". Lineage: Eukaryota; Metazoa; Chordata; Mammalia; Primates; Hominidae. The record is from RNAcentral.
UGCCUGGAGUGAAGAUUCUGCCCAUUGGUCAAGAGACCUCCCUCUCAGAUGCUGGCUCUGCCCCUGCCUUUGGGGGUCGACCCUUGUACUCGCAGGACCUUAGGUGACUCUGACUUUGUCAAAGGAAAAAUUUCUGCAUGUGCACACACAGAUCUUGGAAGUUUAUUCAUCUCAGCAGAGGCAGACAGGAGCAUCAACAGCCUUGGGGACAGCAGCAGUGGUGAAAACUCGGGAAAUAUCAAAAACUUCCAAAAAAUAUAAAGAAUCAGAAAAAGCGGCCGGAUGCAGUGGCUUACACCUGUAAUACCAGCACUUUGGAAGGCCAAGGUGGGUGGAUCACCUGAGAUCAAGAAUUCGAAAACAGCCUGGCCAACGUGGCAAAACCCCCAUCUGUACCCAAAAUACAAAAAUUAGCCUGGCGUUGCAGCGGGCGCCUGUAAUCCCAGCUACUCAGGGAGGCUGAGGCAUGAGAAUUGCUUAAACCUGGGAGGCAGAGGUUGCAGUGAGCCGAGAUCGCACCACUGCACUCCAGCCAAGGUGACAGAGCAAGACCUCUUCUCAAAAAAGAAAAAGCACCCACAAUUCCAACUGAAAGUUAACUACAUUCUAUAUUUUGUCAUAAUUUGUUUUCCAUCACUUUUUGUAUUUACAUUUAUUUUACA